This 1132-nucleotide ribosomal RNA is filed under the name metagenome. RNAcentral's name for it is "bacterial SSU rRNA". It matches the Rfam family "Eukaryotic small subunit ribosomal RNA", at positions 18 to 1225 of the family's 1831-position model. The record is from RNAcentral.
CAGUAGUCAUAUGCUUGUCUCAAAGAUUAAGCCAUGCAUGUAUUAGUUUAAAUAUUUUAUAGUAAAACUGCGAAUGGCUCAUUACAACGGUAAUAGUUUACUUGAUGUAUAACUACUUGGAUAACUGUAGUAAUUCUAGAGCUAAUACAUACAUUGGGGUCACCCCCGUGUUUAUUAGAUAACCGAGAGGCCUUCGGGUCAUUGGUGAGUCAUGAUAAAUUUACGAAUCGAGUUUCGAUGUUUCAAACAAGUUUCCGCCCCAUCAGGUUUGAUUGUUGUGUAUUGGACUACAAUGCCAGUCACGGGUAACGAGGAAUUAGGGUUCGAUUUCGGAGAGGGAGUCUGAGAAACGGCUACCACAUCUAAGGAAGGCAGCAGGCGCGCAAAUUACCCAAUGCAAAUUAUGUGAGGUAGUGACAAGAAAUAACAAUGCAGAACCAUAGGUUUUGUAAUUGGAAUGAGUACAAUUUAAAAACUUUAACGAGGAUCUACUGGAGGGCAAGUCUGGUGCCAGCAGCCGCGGUAAUACCAGCUCCAGAAGCAUAUAUUAAAGUUGUUGCAGUUGAAACGCUCGUAGUCAGAUUUUAUAUGGUGUAUUUCAGUUCGCUGUUAUACCCAACUAAUCGGUCGCCCCACUGAUCUAGUAUCGGUGGGAUCACGAACGAUUUUUCACCUUGAUGAAUUUAGAGUGUUCAAAGCAGGCUAUGCCUGAAUACUUUCGCAUGGAAUGAGUUCAAAAUCUUUUUGUUUUUGUUUCGGUGUGACAAUUAGAGGUAUCAUUAGGAACAGUCGAGGGCAUUUGUACUUGAUUGCGAGAGGUGAAAUUCUUGGACCAAUCAAUGACAAACAAAAGCGAAAGCAUCUGUCAAGGAUGUUUUCUUUGAUCAAGAACGAAGGUCAGGGGAUCGAAGACGAUCAGAUACCGUCCUAGUCCUGACUAUAAACUAUGCCAACCGCUAUUCGGUAAUUAAAUUCUUAAUUAUUUAUCGGGAAGCAGAGAGAAAUCAGAGUUUUUGGGUUCUGGGGGUAGUAUGGUCGCAAGGCUGAAACUUGAAGGAAUUGACGGAAGGGCACCACCAGGCGUGGAGCUUGCGGCUUAAUUUGACUCAACACGGGAAAACUUACCAGGUUA